RNAcentral lists this ribosomal RNA (1161 nucleotides) under metagenome. RNAcentral's name for it is "bacterial SSU rRNA". It matches the Rfam family "Bacterial small subunit ribosomal RNA", at positions 340 to 1514 of the family's 1533-position model. The record is from RNAcentral.
UACGGGAGGCAGCAGUGGGGAAUUUUCCGCAAUGGGCGAAAGCCUGACGGAGCAAUACCGCGUGAGGGAGGAAGGCUCUUGGUUUGUAAACCUCAAAACUUAGGGAGGAAAAAAAUGACGGUACCUAAUAUAAGCAUCGGCUAACUCCGUGCCAGCAGCCGCGGUAAUACGGAGGAUGCAAGCGUUAUCCGGAAUCAUUGGGCGUAAAGAGUCCGUAGGUGGCAAUUAAAGUCUGUGGUCAAAGACCGGAGCUUAACUCUGGAAAGGCAAUGGAAACUGAAGAGCUAGAGUUCGGGAGGGGUAGAGGGAAUUCCCAGUGUAGCGGUGAAAUGCGUAGAGAUUGGGAAGAACACCAGUGGCGAAGGCGCUCUGCUGGACCGAAACUGACACUGAGGGACGAAAGCUAAGGUAGCGAAAGGGAUUAGAUACCCCUGUAGUCUUAGCGGUAAACGAUGGAUACUAGGUGUAGUCUGUAUCGACCCAGACUGUGCCGAAGCUAACGCGUUAAGUAUCCCGCCUGGGGAGUACGCACGCAAGUGUGAAACUCAAAGGAAUUGACGGGGACCCGCACAAGCGGUGGAGUAUGUGGUUUAAUUCGAUGCAACGCGAAGAACCUUACCAAGACUUGACAUCCGGCCAAGUCCGCUGAAAGGUGGACGUGCCUAAGGGAAGGCCGUGACAGGUGGUGCAUGGCUGUCGUCAGCUCGUGUCGUGAGAUGUUGGGUUAAGUCCCGCAACGAGCGCAACCCUCGUCCUUAGUUGCCAGCAUUAAGUUGGGGACUCUAGGGAGACUGCCGGUGACAAACCGGAGGAAGGUGGGGAUGACGUCAAGUCAGCAUGCCCCUUACGUCUUGGGCUACACACGUACUACAAUGGUUAGGACAAAGGGCAGCAAACACGCAAGUGUAAGCGAAUCUCAUCAAACCUAGCCUCAGUUCAGAUUGCAGGCUGCAACUCGCCUGCAUGAAGUAGGAAUCGCUAGUAAUCGCAGGUCAGCAUACUGCGGUGAAUCCGUUCCCGGGUCUUGUACACACCGCCCGUCACACCAUGGAAGUUGGUCAUGCCCGAAGUCGUUACCCUAACCGCUUGCGGAGGGGGAUGCCGAAGGUGGGACUAGUGACUGGGGUGAAGUCGUAACAAGGUAGCCGUACUAGUACGAUA